GCAAGGGUUCGAGCAGCGCCGGAUGUUGGAGGUAUGUAUCUUUUACCUUCAUGUCGAUUACUAUUCAUGAUAUUAUUGUCAUAUUGCUGCAUCGAUAUUAGUAAGCAUAUGUAUUGGAAUAUCAUAUUACCUGCUUGUGAUUGAGUCUUAUGCCAUCUACAUACCUUGGAUUUAGAAGGAUAAAUUGGAGGUCAUUCCCCUCUAGAACAAAUUACUUUGGAUACAGUUGUUGGAAUAGUGUCUAAGGCUGUAACUAUAUCCGGUUGUGCAUGGUCCUUUUGGGUUGCCUUCACCAUAGCAACUUGAUAGGAUGAUUUAUUAAGAGAGAAUAAAUAUUAUUAAUAUAUUAUGGGAAUAAUAUAAUGAGUAAUAUAUUGUUAUUUGAUUAAUAUAAGUCAUAGAAUUAAUUAGAAUUAAUUUGGUGACUUAAAGAGAUUAAUUAAAUAAAGGGGUAUAAACUGUCAAUUGUUUGAUAGUUAAGCUUUAAACUGUAAAUCCAUUUGGAUAUACUUUGGACGGAUUCUAAGAGCUUUAGGAAAGCUAAAAUCGUCCAUAUGCUUAUCUAGGAAUGGAUUUGGAUAGCCUUAAGAGAAGAUUAUCUGAUAGGGACUUAUCUGUAAUCAUUAAGGAAUCUACAAGUAUAAAUAGACCCCAUGGCAUAGGGAAUUCGACACUUCUGGAAAAGCAAGAGAACUCUGGUCGAAUUCCUCCCCUCUCCUCUCUCCCAAAUCAUCCUCCUUGCUUUGGUGUUUGUAAGCCAUUAGAGGAGUGACAUUUGUGACUCUAGAAGCUCCAAGACCUCAAGAUCAACAAGGAACUCAAAGGUAUGAUUCUAGAUCUGUUUCAAUGUUGUUAUUUAACCUAAUUAGUAAUUUAGAAGUCUUGGAUUCAAAGCAUGUUUAUUAGAAAGCCUAGAUCCAAGCAUUAGGGUUUUGCAUGCGCACAUAGGAAAGUUCUUAUGGCUAAAACCCAUCAGUGGUAUCAGAGCCUAGCUUGGUUUUCUGUAAAUUGUUGCUUGAUUAACUGAAACAAACCUGCAAAAUUCGAAUUUUUGGUUUCUGAGUCAUGGACUCGGCGAGUCUCAAAGUGGACUCGGCGAGUAGGCCUGACUCGGCGAGUCCAUUUGUGCACUCGGCGAGUCCAGGCGUCAGGAAUGGCCAGAUUCGGGAUUUCUUUGUGUUUAUCUUAUCUUAACUUACCAUAAACUAAUUAGAUCAACAUUAAUUCGUUUUUCUGAUAAAUAUAACUAUUAUCUUGAUCUAGUUAAAGGUAAUUAUCAACUAAUUAAAUAUUUAAUUUCCUUAUAUGAUAAUUAAUUAAUUAUUUUGAUUAUUUUGGUAAUUAUCUUUAAAAGAAAUCUUGAAUAAAUCAAAUAUAGAUAAUUAGGAUAUUAAUUGUUAAUUGGAAUUAUUUGUUAUUUGAUCCUCCAUGUUUUAAAUGUUUAAAACCUACCCUCAUGUUUUGAAAUUUACUUUUGUGAUUAAAAGUUUUAAUUUAGACAACUUAAAUUUCAAACCCUAGAUUUUAAAAGUUUUAAAAUACAACCCUAUACUAAUAUGAUAUUACUAGAAUAAUAUAUAUAUGUAUAACUAAAUGCUAGUCUUACCGUUAGUAGGCCUCAUUCACGAAGCCGAUCUAUAAGGUGGGUAUAAGGUUGCGGCCUAUAAAAUGGCGCUUAAUGGGUGUACACUCACACCCACCGCUUGCUUGAUUGGUGGAGGGUCGUUAGCCGAACGGGUAGGAUAGGGCAACCUCAUCCUCUCAUUAAAAGUAUAAUAAGAAAUAUAAAGUAACUACAUAUUUUUUUAAAAUUUCCCAAUCCUAGUUACUUUAGGAAAAGUGAAUUGAUGCAAUCCCAUGAAAUUACACUUUGCACCUUGCUAAGAUGUUAGUGGAGCGUGUGUGGUUUACCGGCACACUAAUUGGUUCUAAGCGAAGGUGGCAAAGGGUGAUUCAUUGUUUAUCAUAGUUCGAUGGAGCGUGUGUGGUUUACCGGCACAUCGAAUAGGUGAUCGUUACAAUGAAGGCACCAUGUGAAUUUGCAUGGUAAUUCACACCCGCUUUGUGAUCCUCGGCAUCCCAGUCACAAACAAGAGGGGCAUAUCGAGAUUUAAACAUGCCAUUGAAUAGUUUCAAUGAAUCUCAUCCGAACCUAGGAAUUCUCAAAAACACUUAGGACUAAUAGUUUAAGUUUUGUGAUGGAGAAUUAGUGAAUCGUCAUUCACUUACCUUCAAUUUAUUUGCAUGUUAGAUUACGGCAUCCCUUUUCUAGUAUGUAAAUGUUAUUGUUGGAUCCUAGCCCUAAUUUUCUUAUUGGGUGAUAAUUAGGGAUUCUUAUUCUAAUCUAUCUUUGUCCUUUUCUAAUUGUAGAUGUCGAACGCAAACAACGCUGCUGCUAGUUCUUUCACGUUGAUGAGCCUUUGCCAAAAGGUCACCUUCGAUGGAACGAACUUUAGCGAAUGGAUAAGAUACAUUCGCACCAUUGCUCGCUAUGAGGAUAAGGAGUAUGUCCUCGAUGAGAAGCUCGAGAAAAUCAACCCCGAAAUUGCUACUCCCGCCGAAAUCACCGCCUUUGAAACUCAUGAGCGAGAUGCAACGAAGGUACAUUGCAUCAUGAUCGCCACCAUGAACUCCGAAUUCCAAAAGUCCUACGAGGACAUGUACCCGUACGAGAUGCAUCAAGACUUAUUGGAGAGGUACCACCAAAACGCGAGACAAGAGAGGUACGAGAUUUUCACUAACAUGAUUUCCGCGAAGAUGGGUCAUGGAGAAUCUCUUACCGUGCACUUGCAAAAGAUGCAAAGGUAUGUUGACCGCCUUCGCAAGUUAAAUGUUGACUUCGGUGAAGACUUGGCGAUCGACAUGGUGCUUCACUCUUUGCCUCCGAUGUACAACCAAUUUAGGAUGACCUACCACAUGAACAAAGAAGAGGUCACCCUAAGCAAGCUCCAAGGUCUCUUGAGGGUUGCUGAGAGCAACUUCAAAGACAAGUCUGUUGCACCUACUCCCAAUCCGCCCGCUGCUCCUGUCUUGGCUAUUGGACAAGGGAAGGGAAAGAAGAGGAAAGCUUCAUCGAAGAACUAUCGCAAGGUGAAAGCCCGAGAUGGUGCCUCUUCUAGUGGGACCAAAGUUGAUCCCGCCAAGCCCUGCUCUAACCCGAAGGAGGCAGAGUGCCACCACUGCCACAAGAUAGGACAUUGGAAGAGAAGCUGCCCGGAUUACCUGCAAGCAAUCAAAGAAGGAAAGAUCAAGCCAUCUUUCGCAGGUAUAUAUACAAUCAAAUCUAACGAUUCUAAUCAUGCUAUUUCUUGGGUUCUUGAUACCGGUUGUGGUUAUCACAUUUGUUCUAAUGUGCAGGGACUAAGAAGAAGUAGGGAUGUGGAGCAAGGAAGGAUCAAUCUAAUCAUGGGGAACAGAAGAUCGUCGCCUGUGACCAAGAUUGGAGUGUAUUCCUUAGUGCUUAGGAAUAGUUUAGUUUUAGAUUUGAACAAUUGUUGCUAUUCGCCAGAAAUGGCAAGAAACAUCAUUUCAUUUCAUGGUUUAUAUAGACAAGGAUUUAGAUUUUCUUUUAAUAAUGAGAAUGGUUCUAUUUUGGCUUAUCUAAAUGGUGUCUUUUACUUUGAAGCUAUACCAUGUAAUGGAAUAUAUGAAACCGUUAUGAUUGUUGAUAACUUAGGAAAUGAUGUUUUGAAUAUUGAUUCUUCCACUAGUAUGGAUAAAGCAUCCUUGUGGCAUUGUCGUCUUGGACAUGUCAACAAGAAACGCAUAGCCCAACUCCAAAAGGAUGGAGUGUUGGAGUCAUUCGACCUUAGGGAAGAUGACACAUGCGAGUCUUGUUUGCUUGGAAAGAUGACUAAGUCACCCUUCACGAGUACAUGUGAAAGGGGCGAGGGUCUAUUGGACCUAAUACAUACCGAUGUAUGUGGACCGUUUAGAUCAACCACGAAGGAUGGGAACCGCUUCUAUGUGACUUUUACCGAUGACUAUAGUAGAUAUGGGUAUAUCUACUUAAUCAAGCAAAAGUCAGACACCUUUGAAAAGUUCAAAGAGUUCAAGAAUGAAGUGGAGAAUCAAUUGGGCAGGAAAAUCAAGAUGCUUCGAUCCGAUCGAGGAGGAGAGUACCUAAGUCUUGAAUUCCACGAUUAUCUCAAGGAGUGUGGAAUAGUUUCGCAAUUGACGCCUCCUAGGACACCGCAGUUGAAUGGUGUGGCAGAAAGGCGUAAUCGAACCUUAUUGGAUAUGGUUCGCUCUAUGAUGAGUCGUGCUUCACUACCUAUCUCUUUUUGGGGGUAUGCCUUAGAGACUGCCGCCCAUAUCCUUAACCGAGUCCCUACUAAGAAGGUUGCCAAAACACCUCACGAGAUGUGGACAGGGAAAGCUCCCUCGUUGGCACAUAUCAAGGUUUGGGGUUGCGAGGCUUUCGUAAGACGAGAUACUCACGACAAGCUUGAACCUCGAAGUGAGCGAUGUAUUUUCAUCGGCUACCCGCAGACAUCCUUUGGAUAUCUCUUCUAUAGACCGAAGGACAAUGUUGUCUUCGUUGCGAGGAGAGGAGUUUUCCGAGAGCGAGAACUCAUAAGCCAAGGAGACAGUGGGAGGCAAAUCGAGCUUGAAGAGAUUCAAGAGUCGAUAGAUGAAGGAACCUCUACCGCUGGCACUCAACCCGAGGAGGAAACUCCGGUUGAACCGAUUGACGAAUCCUUACCUCUUAGACGUUCCGAUAGAGUUAGAGUUCAACCCCAGUUUUAUGGUUUUCAUAUUACUACCGAAGGGGACACGUAUAUUAGUGAUGGUACACUAAUAAAUCUUGAUGAACCUAAUAGCUAUAAGGAAGCCAUGGCAGGCCCGGAGUCUGCAAAAUGGAAAGAGGCAAUGGAUAGCGAGAUCCAAUCCAUGUAUGAUAACCAAGUUUGGAAUUUGGUUGAUUAUGUGCCCGGACGUAAGACCGUUGGGUGCAAAUGGAUCUUCAAGAAGAAGACCGACGUGGAUGGAAACGUACACACAUAUAAAGCGCGAUUGGUUGCGAAGGGCUUUACUCAAACUCCCGGAGUUGACUAUGAUGAGACCUUCUCACCAGUUGCGAAGAUUAAAUCUAUUAGAGUGAUGCUAGCAAUUGCCGCAUUUCAUGAUUAUGAGAUUUGGCAAAUGGAUGUCAAGACCGCUUUCCUUAACGGAAAGUUGGCUGAGGAUGUUUACAUGGCUCAGCCAGAGGGGUUUGUGGAUCCGAAGCAUCCGAAUAGAGUGUGUAAGCUUGAGAAGUCCAUUUAUGGACUUAAGCAAGCGUCUCGCAGAUGGAAUCUUUGCUUCGAUGAGAAAGUCAAAGAGUUUGGAUUUGUACGAAGCGAAGACGAAUCUUGUGUAUAUGUCAAAGCCAGUGGGAGUAUAGUAAGCUUCCUCGUUCUAUAUGUCGAUGACAUAUUACUCAUAGGAAACGACAUCCCGACUCUGCAGGAGGUUAAGUCCUGGCUCGGGAAGUGCUUCGCUAUGAAGGACCUCGGAGAGGCUUCUUACAUUUUGGGAAUAAGGAUAGUAAGAGAAAGAAGUAAGAGACUAAUUGGACUUAGUCAGAAUACUUACUUAGAGAAGGUACUAAAACGUUUUAGUAUGGAAAACUCAAAGAAGGGAGAACUACCGAUACAAAGUAAUGCCAAAUUGAGUAAGACUCAAAGUCCGAGUACCGAAGCUGAGAUAGCAGAAAUGAGCCGAGUACCAUACGCUUCCGCAGUUGGCUCAAUCAUGUACGCUAUGACUUGUACUCGCCCUGAUGUAGCCUUCGCUUUGAGCAUGGUUAGCAGAUAUCAAGGGAAUCCUGGCAAAGCACAUUGGAUUGCGGUGAAGAAUAUCCUUAAGUACCUUCGGAGGACGAAGGAAUGGUUCUUAGUCCUCGGAGGGAGUGAUGACUUGAAGGUGCGAGGGUAUAGUGACGCCAGUUUUCAGACCGACAGGGACAACUACCGUUCGCAGUCGGGCUGGGUCUUUACCCUAAAUGGAGGAGCAGUGACAUGGAAGAGUUCCAAGCAGGAAACCGUAGCUGAUUCAACGUGCGAAUCAGAGUACAUUGCAGCGAGCGAAGCGUCGAAGGAGGCAAUAUGGCUAAAGAACUUCAUCGGUGAUCUUGGAGUCGUACCUGCCAUAAAGGAGCCAAUGGAGAUUUUCUGUGAUAACGAAGGUGCGGUUGCCUUAACCAAGGAACCGAGGGAUCAUGGUAGAUCAAGACAUAUCGACAGAAAGUAUCACUUCAUUAGACAUCGUGUAGAAGAAGGACAACUCGUAGUGAAGAGGAUAUCAUCAGAAGAUAACCCAGCAGAUCCGCUUACGAAGGGACUGAGUAGGGUUAAGCACUUGCAGCAUGCUAGGAGUAUUGGGCUGAAGGAUGAUAUUAGCAUAGAUUAGAUAGUAUUAGAAACGUGUAAUAGAUAAAUGUAAUUGACAUUUGAUGAUUAAAUAAAGGAGUUUUAUUUAUGAGUAAUGUUACUAUCUUAUGUUAAUUGUUUAGCUAUUGUUUCACUUUGCAUGUUUUGACUUCCAGAAUAAUUGAGUUUAUUAGGAAUAAUCGAAUUAUUCAAAUGGUCCACAAUCGUUCAUAUGUUGGGAGUAGAUAUGAAAGAAGAUUGUCAUGAAUUGGUGUGUAGAAUGUCUAAAUGGUGUUAGACAUAGCAAAGGAUUGCUGCAACGUUCAUGAGUGCUUAUGAACUAGUUUUGAGCAUUGGAAUAAACCCGCGCUUGCUGGAAUCACCUUAUGGAAUACGAUAUAAAAGGUGAUCGCAAGACGAUAAUAUCAUAUAGUCUUAAAACCUAGAUAUAUGGUUUAUUAUUUGUUAAUUGAUUGUACAUUGAUAAUACGAAAACGCAUCAGUAACUUGGUGUUAUAAAACGUAUUGUUGUGUAUAGUUGGUUAAUGAAUAAGUAAAUGCAUAUAAGUCGAAGUUUAUCUGUAACUUUUAUCUAAGAAGGUAAAAGCGAUAUCUCGGCCGCUCGAUGAUUUGAUUUGACUUAUGUGCCGGGCCCGGUCAGAACUGAAUUGAUGUGUUCGAUUAAGUUCUAUGUCAAAUAAAUCAGAGAUCGAGAAACCUAAAUGCUUGACUAACCAUUCCAUAGGAUUGUCAGCAUGAUAUCUAACAGAGGACUGUACGUUCCCUUAUCUAAAGGACAAGAUUGAUUAGAUCAGAGUUGACAGCGUCUUUGAGAGCUACGAUUGCAAACCGAAUUGUACUUGUAUAGUUACUAGACUUAUCCAAGUGGGAGACUGUUGGAAUAGUGUCUAAGGCUGUAACUAUAUCCGGUUGUGCAUGGUCCUUUUGGGUUGCCUUCACCAUAGCAACUUGAUAGGAUGAUUUAUUAAGAGAGAAUAAAUAUUAUUAAUAUAUUAUGGGAAUAAUAUAAUGAGUAAUAUAUUGUUAUUUGAUUAAUAUAAGUCAUAGAAUUAAUUAGAAUUAAUUUGGUGACUUAAAGAGAUUAAUUAAAUAAAGGGGUAUAAACUGUCAAUUGUUUGAUAGUUAAGCUUUAAACUGUAAAUCCAUUUGGAUAUACUUUGGACGGAUUCUAAGAGCUUUAGGAAAGCUAAAAUCGUCCAUAUGCUUAUCUAGGAAUGGAUUUGGAUAGCCUUAAGAGAAGAUUAUCUGAUAGGGACUUAUCUGUAAUCAUUAAGGAAUCUACAAGUAUAAAUAGACCCCAUGGCAUAGGGAAUUCGACACUUCUGGAAAAGCAAGAGAACUCUGGUCGAAUUCCUCCCCUCUCCUCUCUCCCAAAUCAUCCUCCUUGCUUUGGUGUUUGUAAGCCAUUAGAGGAGUGACAUUUGUGACUCUAGAAGCUCCAAGACCUCAAGAUCAACAAGGAACUCAAAGGUAUGAUUCUAGAUCUGUUUCAAUGUUGUUAUUUAACCUAAUUAGUAAAUUAGAAGUCUUGGAUUCAAAGCAUGUUUAUUAGAAAGCCUAGAUCCAAGCAUUAGGGUUUUGCAUGCGCACAUAGGAAAGUUCUUAUGGCUAAAACCCAU
This 7993-nucleotide long non-coding RNA is filed under the name Lactuca sativa (garden lettuce). RNAcentral's name for it is "long non-coding RNA (LSAT_LNC009985)". Lineage: Eukaryota; Viridiplantae; Streptophyta; Magnoliopsida; Asterales; Asteraceae. The record is from RNAcentral.